Molecule: long non-coding RNA, 1821 nt
Organism: Equus caballus (horse)
Lineage: Eukaryota; Metazoa; Chordata; Mammalia; Perissodactyla; Equidae
Source: Ensembl
CCUUCAGAAGCACAAAUGUAAGCAGCAUGAGGUAUUUUGAAGUGUGAGACAUUUAAGUUUCAGGAACACAGUAUCCCUGUGCAGAGAGAAAAGAGUAAUUACUCAGAUGCCAACUCACAACUGGGAAAACGAGGUGGCCAAAGGAAACUUCACAAUGGAAAUCUUGUGUUUCUGGUGCACAUGUUCAGUCAGAGACACGAAAUUUUAAAGAAUCUUUGUCUAUAGGAAUGAUGCCAGCUCCUCUCUCCUGCACAUCCUCUCUGUGGAUUAAUCAUCAGGCCCCCGGUAACCGCAGUGUGACCACUAUGUGAGGCGCCUUCUUCCCUGAAACAAUGAAGGUCUGUCCGAUUGUCUUUGGGAGGCAUUUACAGCUCGAGGACAUUGCUCUGUUUUAUUGAAAGUACUCAGCACUGGCUUCUUGGGACAUGGCUGGAAGGGGUAUUGAGCUGGAUUGGGCAAUAACAGAUGUUCCAGUGGGACACUGAGACAUUCUUGCUGUGUGGGACACCCAGCAGGAACACGUUGUAAAAAAUGAGGAAGGCAAGAGUACGUUUCACAAAGCCCUGUACAAGUGCUCUGACCCAUGGCUCUGAUAAAGUUGUGUGUCCUGAUCUCAAGUCCUUAGAGGGGUCUACCCCACAUGAAGAUUACUUGAAGGAGAGGAACACAAUUGCUGGAGCCUCAGCUCUUUGUCUCAAUAACUGAUGGGAUGAGAUAGUUUCUAUUCAUCUGGCUGGAUAGAGCUCUGGAAUGCGGUAGCUCUGCCUGAGGGGCCGCUGUGGAGUGUACAGAGCAACACUGUCAUUCCCAGAAGAACGUGGCAGCCGCCUUACACAGUAGGCUGGACCGCCUCCACCCCCAUGUCUACAGGCAGCAACCAAGAGUCCUUAAAAUAAUAAACAGCUGGCUGUGGGCUCCCUACACAAACCCCAGAAUUCCAAUACAAUUCUACUUGACUGAACAGGUUUUAGACCACAGCACAGGAAACUCAGAGUCCAGAAAACUCCCACCUUCACCCGCUGUGGCUGGGCAUCCGUUGGAAUGAUUGUCCCGAAGCUUUGUGUCUGGGAGAGCACCUCCUACGAAGCAGCCAAGUGCAGGGGGAUUCAAAGGAGCUCACUCUGGCACUCUGACUGCUGUAUGGAGAAUGCUCUGGAGGUCAGUUCCUAGGAUGCAGGAAAAGCACUAGGGAUGCUAUUGCAGGAGAUGAGGGUUUAAUCAGGAAUCAGAACCUCUCUGAGUAGCAUGGAAUCAAGAAUUUAUGAUAGGAAUAAGUCUUUAUGUAAUUACGGAAGAACCUGGGGAAGGAAGGAUCUGGCAGGAGGAAAAAAAGAGCAGAAAAAAGCCACUAACCAGAAGCCACUAACCACUAACUUGCCAGAAGCACCAGCUUGGGUAGAGAAGUUGCAGCUUGCAAGGAAAUCUGGAAAGCCAGAACAUCAAGCUGCCAGAGUGCAGCUGUGAAGGGGAGCUGACGGAAAAGUGUAUGGAAACUUAAAUCCUCUGCUUAACCACCUUUUCUAUAAUUCUACCACCAAGCUUCUGGUGAUGGGCCUGGAGAGGCUACUGGUCAGCAGGGCCAGCAGUCAGGAAAACUGGAUGGAUGGGGGUGGGCAGAAGGUGAGAUCAAGCUGGAACCCUCUAGCGCCUCUGCAUCUGUCUUCCCUUCCAUGUAAGCACAGUGACCUUCAGAGAGUAACGGCUCAGAUCUGCCUUGCAAAUAUCAAGCGAAUUCCUUUUGUACCCUACUCUAACCUGGAAACAGAGAGAAGGUGAUGCUGCGGAACCGUUCUCCAGUAACCAAGUAAACACAGCCACAAC